GCGAGCGCUGGCGGCAGGCCUAACACAUGCAAGUCGAACGAACUCUUCGGAGUUAGUGGCGGACGGGUGAGUAACACGUGGGAACGUGCCUUUUGGUUCGGAAUAACUCAGGGAAACUUGUGCUAAUACCGAAUGUGCCCUUCGGGGGAAAGAUUUAUCGCCAUUAGAGCGGCCCGCGUCUGAUUAGCUAGUUGGUGAGGUAACGGCUCACCAAGGCGACGAUCAGUAGCUGGUCUGAGAGGAUGACCAGCCACACUGGGACUGAGACACGGCCCAGACUCCUACGGGAGGCAGCAGUGGGGAAUCUUGCGCAAUGGGCGAAAGCCUGACGCAGCCAUGCCGCGUGAAUGAUGAAGGUCUUAGGAUUGUAAAAUUCUUUCACCGGGGACGAUAAUGACGGUACCCGGAGAAGAAGCCCCGGCUAACUUCGCG
Molecule: ribosomal RNA, 432 nt
Filed under: uncultured bacterium
Lineage: Bacteria
Description: partial 16S ribosomal RNA
Rfam family: Bacterial small subunit ribosomal RNA
Source: RNAcentral